UUGACCUCGGAUCAGGCAGGGAUACCCGCUGAACUUAAGCAUAUCAAUAAGCGGAGGAAAAGAAACCAACAGGGAUUGCCUCAGUAACGGCGAGUGAAGCGGCAACAGCUCAAAUUUGAAAUCUGGCUCUUUUAGGGUCCGAGUUGUAAUUUGUAGAGGAUGCUUCGGCGUCGGCUCCGGUCUAAGUUCCUUGGAACAGGACGUCAUAGAGGGUGAGAAUCCCGUAUGUGAUCGGUUGCCUUGCCAUGUGAAGCUCCUUCGACGAGUCGAGUGUUUGGAAUGCAGCUCUAAUGGAGGUAAAUUUCUUCUAAGCUAAUACUGCC
Molecule: ribosomal RNA, 323 nt
Filed under: uncultured Cenococcum
Lineage: Eukaryota; Fungi; Ascomycota; Dothideomycetes; Gloniales; Gloniaceae
Description: eukaryotic LSU rRNA
Rfam family: Eukaryotic large subunit ribosomal RNA
Source: RNAcentral